CCUACGGGAGGCAGCAGUGGGGAAUAUUGCACAAUGGGCGCAAGCCUGAUGCAGCCAUGCCGCGUGUGUGAAGAAGGCCUUCGGGUUGUAAAGCACUUUCAGCGGGGAGGAAGGCGGUGAGGUUAAUAACCUCAUCGAUUGACGUUACCCGCAGAAGAAGCACCGGCUAACUCCGUGCCAGCAGCCGCGGUAAUACGGAGGGUGCAAGCGUUAAUCGGAAUUACUGGGCGUAAAGCGCACGCAGGCGGUCUGUCAAGUCGGAUGUGAAAUCCCCGGGCUCAACCUGGGAACUGCAUUCGAAACUGGCAGGCUAGAGUCUUGUAGAGGGGGGUAGAAUUCCAGGUGUAGCGGUGAAAUGCGGAGAGAUCUGGAGGAAUACCGGUGGCGAAGGCGGCCCCCUGGACAAAGACUGACGCUCAGGUGCGAAAGCGUGGGGAGCAAACAGGAUUAGAUACCCGGGUAGUC
Molecule: ribosomal RNA, 465 nt
Filed under: uncultured Klebsiella sp.
Lineage: Bacteria; Pseudomonadati; Pseudomonadota; Gammaproteobacteria; Enterobacterales; Enterobacteriaceae
Description: bacterial SSU rRNA
Rfam family: Bacterial small subunit ribosomal RNA
Source: RNAcentral